Long non-coding RNA from Phlebotomus papatasi, 460 nucleotides. RefSeq lists it as uncharacterized. NCBI's taxonomy places the organism in Eukaryota, Metazoa, Arthropoda, Insecta, Diptera, Psychodidae. The transcript has 2 exons. The record is from RefSeq and is a predicted model, not a curated record.
AGCCUUCAAAUUGGGAACCCAUCAACAAAAUCGUCAGCAUUCAUAACCUCAAAAGUGCGACUAGUCGUGUUACCCGGGAGUGGAACUCGAAAUCACGAGCCGGCCGUACAAAUAUGCCGAGCUACUACACAAAUGUUGCAAGAAAAGUAGGAGUCGAUGGAAUUUGAGGAGACGAUGGAGGUAGUAGAGAAGGUGGAAAUCAAUGAGAGGCUUGCAAAGGAACUCCAUUUUGCAACAAAUAAUAAGCACACCGCUGAGGAUUCCUCCGUAGCAGCAACUAUAAAAUUUGGGACCUCCAGAAAGUGUCUAAUGAAAACUCUAAAAUCACAAUGAGACGAAGAAAGCUGAGGAUAUCUAACGUCGGCAGACUUUGUAAACGUUCAAGUUUGAGAAGAAAAAUGUGACAAAUCAAAAAAGGCUAUUGUAAGGAAAGUCAAUAAAAUUUUUUAACCAUUUUAAA